UCAUAGNGACUGNGGAAGGAUCAUUACUGAAAAACGCUCGAGGAUGUUGCUGGCGGCUUGUCGUCGCACGUGCACUCCUCGAACCAUUUCUGACCCUUCUCACACCAUGUGCACCCGUUGUAGGUCUGUUGACCUAUGUUUUUUUCUUAAAAACUCCAUCGAAUGUAUUUGAAUGUACCAUUGAAAGGGCUUUUGCCCAAGUCAAUAAAAUACAACUUUCAACAAUGGAUCUCUUGGCUCUCGCAUCGAUGAAGAACGCAGCGAAAUGCGAUACGUAAUGUGAAUUGCAGAAUUCCGUGAAUCAUUGAAUCUUUGAACGCACCUUGCGCCCCUUGGUAUUCCGAGGGGCAUGCCUGUUUGAGUGUCAUUGAACCUCCUCAACUUGACCUUUUAGGUUGAGCUUGGAUUUGGAGAGUGCCGGCGAGUUUCGGCUCCUCUGAAAAGCAUUAGCGAGCGACCAUCGCGUCUGCUUUGGCAUUGAUAAACCUGUCUAUGCCCUGGGCGCGUUUGACGGUGUUCGCUUACAGUGGUCCCAUAUAGGACAACCGUAACCCAACAAUCACCUCAAAUCAGGUAGGACUACCCGCUGAACUUAAGCAUAUCAUUAAGCGGAGGAAA
RNAcentral lists this ribosomal RNA (618 nucleotides) under Hygrocybe helobia. RNAcentral's name for it is "eukaryotic LSU rRNA". The stretch from base 214 to 367 matches the Rfam family "5.8S ribosomal RNA". The record is from RNAcentral. Lineage: Eukaryota; Fungi; Basidiomycota; Agaricomycetes; Agaricales; Hygrophoraceae.